CUGUGAGGACGUCACAGGCGACGACGGGUAGCCGGCCUGAGAGGGCGACCGGCCACACUGGGACUGAGACACGGCCCAGACUCCUACGGGAGGCAGCAGUGGGGAAUAUUGCGCAAUGGGCGAAAGCCUGACGCAGCGACGCCGCGUGAGGGAUGACGGCCUUCGGGUUGUAAACCUCUUUCAGCAGGGACGAAGCGCAAGUGACGGCACCUGCAGAAGAAGCGCCGGCUAACUACGUGCCAGCGCCCGCGGCCGAGA
Molecule: ribosomal RNA, 258 nt
Filed under: uncultured Streptoalloteichus sp.
Lineage: Bacteria; Bacillati; Actinomycetota; Actinomycetes; Pseudonocardiales; Pseudonocardiaceae
Description: partial 16S ribosomal RNA
Rfam family: Bacterial small subunit ribosomal RNA
Source: RNAcentral